RNAcentral lists this ribosomal RNA (447 nucleotides) under uncultured bacterium. Its description in RNAcentral is "bacterial SSU rRNA". It matches the Rfam family "Bacterial small subunit ribosomal RNA", at positions 355 to 825 of the family's 1533-position model. The record is from RNAcentral.
UCGGGAAUUUUGUGCAAUGGGCGAAAGCCUGACCCAGCAACGCCGCGUGAAGGAUGAAGUAUUUCGGUAUGUAAACUUCGUAAGAAUAGGAAGAAUAAAUGACGGUACUAUUUGUAAGGUCCGGCUAACUACGUGCCAGCAGCCGCGGUAAUACGUAGGGACCAAGCGUUGUUCGGAUUUACUGGGCGUAAAGGGCGCGUAGGCGGUGUGUCAAGUCAGUUGUGAAAUCUCCGAGCUUAACUCGGAACGGUCAACUGAUACUGUCACACUAGAGUACAGAAGGGGCAAUCGGAAUUCUUGGUGUAGCGAUGAAAUGCGUAGAUAUCAAGAGGAACACCUGAGGCGAAGGCGGGUUGCUGGGCUGAUACUGACGCUGAGGCGCGAAAGCUAGGGUAGCAAACGGGAUUAGAUACCCCCGUAGUCCCUGAGCGGGCUGGCAAGGCGCAU